AGUGUGGGCGGCUAUUUAAGUCGGAUGUGAAAGCCCUGGGCUCAACCUGGGAAUUGCAUUCGAAACUGAAUAGCUAGAGUUUGGUAGAGGUAAGUGGAAUUCCGGGUGUAGCGGUGAAAUGCGUAGAUAUCCGGAGGAACAUCAGUGGCGAAGGCGGCUUACUGGACCAAAACUGACGCUGAGGCUCGAAAGCGUGGGGAGCAAACAGGAUUAGAUACCCUGGUAGUCC
Molecule: ribosomal RNA, 229 nt
Filed under: uncultured bacterium
Lineage: Bacteria
Description: partial 16S ribosomal RNA
Rfam family: Bacterial small subunit ribosomal RNA
Source: RNAcentral